Molecule: long non-coding RNA, 7225 nt
Organism: Mauremys reevesii (Reeves's turtle)
Lineage: Eukaryota; Metazoa; Chordata; Testudines; Geoemydidae
Exons: 3
Source: RefSeq, a predicted model, not a curated record
UUUGUGGUGGCUGGUAUUUUCAGAGAGAAGGGUCAAAUUCUUUUAGGAGUUCAAGCAGUUGCUCCAAGAGGUUUCCCAUAUUUAUGUUCUCAGCCCUUUAAUUUUAUUCAUUAAAAAUCUCCUCCUUGGACCAAAUUCAUCUCUCAGUUACACCCAUAAAAUUUUACUGGAGUCAAUAGGGUUUCAGGAGUGUCACCAAGAGCAGAAUUUGGUCUUUUGCUUUGUCAGAAAAUGAUUAGCAGCUAACUAAAAACAAGAAUGAGGAAAAGGGGAUUGGAGUUACAAAACUAGGUAAAUGUAAACUUCACACAGUGUAGUCUUACAAUAAGAGCAGGAGACUGGGGGUCAGAACUUCUGGAUUCUAAUCCACCUGCGGCCAUAGCUUCCCUAUAUGGUGCCUGGCAAAUCACUGAGACCUGUGCAUGAAAAGUGCUACAUAUAAGCUAAGUAUUAAUAUUAAUUACUAUCAUUGCACAUGCAAAUGGCUAAUUAUAGCAAUGUGGGUAUGCAAUUACCUGAUUUGUACAUGCAGUCACGGUAAUUGCAUGUGUAACCUUUUAAAAAUCAAGAUUCUAAUUUCAAUAAGAUAUUUGAUGGUGAAAAUGUGAAAGUGGCCACAUGAUCUAAGUUUUGGUAAGGUUAAUGUUUAAACUGAUGGCCUUAAAAAUAAGGGCCACUUAAGUGAAUGGGAGUUUGGAUUGAGUAACAAUUGCAGGAUUGGCCCCUAAUACCAUUCCAGCUAUACUUCCAGCUUUGAUGUGGUGCAAGUUUAUUCAUAGAUGUUUUGUUUUCUGAGCGCAGGAUAGACAAUGUCGCAUACCAUAGCAUUGUCCUUUAUGCUACCAACAUUAAAUAUGGAAACACUGACACAAAUGGAACUCGAGUGGUGUGAAUGGCUAGUGGUAAAGAUCAGUCAGUGUUUCCAUUUUAAACCUCUGCUUUCAUAGUUCUAGAACUAGGACCAUACAGUUCACAUUGGGUUGAAAUAUGACGCAGAAAUUCUCAGCCAGGGUAUGAAUUACUUUUUAAAAGAAAAUAUGUCUGAGUGUGGCCAUUUUUAAGUGGGAGUUCAAAGAAAUAGAAGUUAAUGGUUUCAGAGGGGAGGGCAUAAUACAGUUGGGUCAAUUUCAGUUUCUGAAUGAGCGAGAGACAAAAAACCUCAAUGUGCUAACAAUUCUGUACGUCUCUGCUGUAUGUUAAGUGAGCCUAUUCCCUCUCUUUCGCCUUCACAGUUCUGUAAAAUAUUACACCUUUAUCUUAAAAGGCACUGAAUUACACAAAGAAACUAAAGAUAAGUUUUUGGUACUUUCCAAACUUGAAAUAUUUCCUCUGGUAAAUUUCCCCCACAUGAGAUCAGUUAACCGAAAACAGGAUGUGGCUCACAAAGAGAUUAAGAUUUGAAGCUUAACUAUAGACCCAUUGCAUACUAUAGACCCAUUGCAUUGAUGUUGGCUUUGCAGGGGUAGUGUAUUAGUAUAUAGGCUGGCUUAUCAAUUUUAUAUCUAAGGGGAAAUGUAAUGCAGGGACAUAUUUAGAUUCAGGGUAAAAUUUCCAUUAGCACAUAAAUUACUUAAGACUUUCAAUGAUCCAUAGGUUCCUAAAAACAACAAGGAGUCCGGUGGCACCUUAAAGACUAACAGAUUUAUUUGGGCAUAAGCUUUUGUGGGUAAAAAACCCACUUCUUCAGAUGCAUGGAGUGAAAAUUACAGAUGCAGGCAUUAUUAUACUGACACAUGAAGAGAACAGAGUUACCUUACAAAUGGAGAACCAUUGUUGACAGGGCCAAUUCAAUCAGGGUGGAUGUAGUCCACUCCCAAUAGCUGAGGAGGAGGUGUCAAUACCAGGAGAGGGAAAGUUGCUUUUGUAGUGAAGUUCCUAAGUGCCUAAAUCACUUUUGAAAAUGGGAUUUAGGCUUAUAAGUCACUUUUAGGUGCUUUUAAAAAUUUUACUUCAAGUAUUUACAACAUUUUCUGGGCCAAGAGUCCCAGUUUGAAGAUAGACACAAAAUGAAUGGGAUCUGGAUGCCCAUUCAAUGCAUAGUUUUAAAUUAAUAUAAAAUGGCUGAAAAUGUAGGUAUGCGGUAGGAGGGACCCUGAAAAAUUGUUAAAACUAGAAAAAAAAAACUAAGUUAAUAAAACAAGGUCAGUCUCUCAAUGAGACACAAUACUUCCAGUAGUUACAGUUGAGGACUCCAAGUCAAGAUUCUUGACUGUAUUUCCUAUUCUGCCACUGAGUUGUUUUUAACUUUGAGUACAUCACCUCUUUGACUGACUUUACCCACUUAUACAAUAGGGGUACUAAUAACUAUGUACCUACCUUCCAGAAGUGUCAUGGGACUUAUUAAUGUUUGCACUGUGCUUUGUGAUAUUCAAAUUAAAAGUGCUAUAAAAGAGAAAAGUAUAAUUGGAUCCCAGUCCAAAGCAAAGUGACAGCUUUGCCACCAUACCAUGUCUGGUCUCGGAUGCAUUCUUUUAGGUUGCUUUUGUUGUAAUACCUCCCACUGUACUUACUGCUAGUUUUACCUUUUGUAUGUUACAUUUACACACUGCAGACCUGGUCCAACUUUGAUUGAAGUAGAUGGAAAGAUUUCCACUAACUUCAAUGGAAGGUGAAUUGUAUUCUGGCACAGAUGCUGGGAAUCAAUAUUUUUCCCUUGAUCCACACUCUACCUCUGUAUUUUUCCAGUUUAUAUUUACUGUAAAAUACUAUUAUCCUCAGUUUACUAGUGAAGAAAUUAAUUUCAGGAACAGCUGUUUGGGAACAUCACUUUGGCACUUGUCAAAAAAUGUAAGAAGUGUCCCAUGCUGAUCUUGUUUUAGUCAUUCACUAAAGUAGUUUCAAUGAUACAAACCAAGGAGUCAUCUUAGGCAAGAGAAGGUCCAAAGAUUAAAAUGUGCCUCCUUGUCACGAUUUGCUCAUUAACUUUUGCAAACUACUCUAUUGCAGGACAAAAAUUAACUGAGAAGAGUACCUGCCUCUGGUUUUAAGGAUCAUGAUUAUUCAAGCCCUGUCUACUCUAAGGAAAUCCACAACAAUGCAACUGUAUUGCUGUCACUACGUCAGUGCAAACAUCUAAUGUAGACAUGCCAAACUGGCACAAAGCUGGUCUUACACAGUGCAGUUUACUUCGGCCUCUCACCAGAUUACACCAUGCUUUGCACCGGUACAGCCAGUCUACAUUAGGGGGUUUUGCUGCUGUAACUAUAUUACUGUUGUUACUAUAAUUACAUUAACUUUGUGUUUAUACCAAUGUGAAUUUCCUUAAUGUAGACAGGGCCUGAUCCCGACUGGAAAAUUCUUACCUGCUCAUUUCCUUUCUAAUUGCUUUGGAGGAAACACUGGGGAUGUGGCUAUGCCCACCUGUCAGGCUGUCAAAGAGUUCUUCCAAAGCUCUGGAGGUAACAUUUGGAAAACCAAGCUAAAAUGUAAUAUCUUCUCACUGUGAAACAGAUGGCAAAAUACGACCGUUCCAUUUCUAUAUACACCAAUUCACUGUUUGCUAUGGAACCCCUCAUUAACCUAGGUAAACUUAGUGCCUUUGGUGGGACGGAUUAGUGGAAACAUUUACAGGAGAAAGGAAAUGAGCAGAUAAGACAUUCCCACUCUCUUACAUAAUGUCCCCAUUAAUCUUUACUGAAGGGAAACAACAAGAAACAAAUGGGGUAGAGGGAGAAGGCGAUAGUAAACCCAGUGGUUUGGAGCUGUGUUCCGGCUCCAUUCCAGCUCCAGGCAAAAACCUGCAGCUCCACUGCUCCGGAGCUGCUCUGCACUCCAGCUCUGGGCUCCACUCCAAAGCCCUGCCCAGUGGGACCCUUGAUAUUUAGCUGACUGGAGCACCCUUGUCCUCGAGACAUCAGCGGAUGCUUAAAAGAUGAGCUUGUAAUCCUUGAUGGAAAUAGGAAGAGAGAACUAUGUUGUAGCCUUGUAUCUCUCUUCCACUAAGUAGCUUUAAUGUCAUUGGGAUUGGUUUUUCUGAGGUUACAGCUUUGCAACAGUGUAUCCAGCUCUCAAUAGAAGGUUUAAAAUGAUAUUUGACCUUUGCAUGUUGGAUGCUAUGAGAGAAAUCAUGCUUAAGCUUCCUUAAAAUGUAUGUAAUUGUUUUAAGCAGUACACGGCCCCUGCAGUCAUCCAAAGCAUGCCAAACUAUUUCUUGAGGGAGUUUCUUUUAUAAACACUUGAGUAUUGUUUAAUUUUAACUAAAGCUCAAUAAAAACACCUGAAGUUAAAGUGAAUCCACCUGAUUGUACUGUCUGCUUAGUAGGGCUGUUUUUAAUCACACAAGGAGAACAGGAUAUUGCCCAGGGCAGCAAAGUGUACAAGGACUGUUUAUGUGAGUGACUGAGUGUAGACCAUCAGGAAUGUACACAUUGUCCAGUUAGCCUAGGGUAGCAACUCCUGUAGGAUCACAGCGCUGGCUUCUCAGUUCAUCAGUAAAUAACUCAGAUCACUACAAAGUCUCACCCUUGCUAUCUGCAGACCACCCACAGUGCGCAAAGUACUACCUAGAUGCACUAAUCACACUAAUUGAUUUCCUUGCCUUUUACUUUUCUCAGCUGAAGCAAAUAAGCAAGAGAAAGUCACCCCUCCUUACUCUCUUCAGUCAAACAUCAACUUCUGGAAGAAGCCACAUGCAGAUGCUUUGAUUCCUAUGUUGUAGGAUCACUCACACUCUGGCACAGAGACAUGACUGAUGUGAGGAAAUCUAAGUAUUCACAGAGUAAGAGGACUUUAAGGAGGAAUUUGAAGGAGACAGUAGGGUGCUUAGUGCCUGCAAAAGAGGAAACUUUUUCAAGCAUGGAGUGGCAUGGAGAGUAAAAGUGAAAACGGGAGAAGGCUCAAAAAGUACAUCAUUGUACACAAGUUCCCAGAAGAGUCCUUGGAACGCAGCAAAGGAAACAGACCUUGAAACUCCAUAUGGAACGUCUGCAUCUCGAACUGGACGCUGGAACCACAGCGCAAAUGGAUGGGACACAAAGUAUUUGGGAAACGAAUGCUUCCGUCUGUUCCAGUUUGGUGUCAAUGGGUCUUCCUGAAAGAAACAGAAACACAGACAUGUUGCACAAUCUAAUGCAGCAAUAUUUUAUCUGUUUAAUUAAAAGCAUACCUAACUCUUUCCACUCUAAUUAACUUUUGCUUCAUAGGCUAGGAUUGGAAUGUAUCACUUGUGAACAAGCUUAUGGGAAGGAGUGCCCUCUACUGGGGCUGUCUCUUUAGGGAGCUGUUCAGUUCAGAACUAGUGACCAAAGAAGGAGAAAUAACAAGCCACAUGUACCAGGUACAAACAGAGUUGUAUGAAACUUGCUGGUUUGGGGCCAUGGGGAUUUGGUUUCAAUCCAUGUUGGCUCAGACACUCUGCCCUAAAUUCACCCUGGUGUAAAUCUAUUUUCUCCAGCUGAGUUUCAUGAGGGAUGAAUUUGACCUCCUGAGUUUCACUUUGAAUUUUGGAUGCUAACCCUAGACUCAAAGUGAAAGUUGAUUCUACCAAGUUUCUCCUAGUGUCAUGUGGAAACUGUGCAAAAUGGUGAAUUUCACUCAGCUUUGAUGGGAAGCCACAAAUGGCACCAAGGUCAUUCAACUGAUUCACAGAGAGACUGGCUUGAGUUAUUUUUGCAUAACCACAAGGUGGGCAAGUUUCAUACAGUUUUGGGUUUUCUUAUGAAAAUGUUGCAGAGCUCUAAAUGGGAGAGGGUGCUCCCUAUGGUAAAAGGGGCUAUGUCUCACUCCUUCCCUGCAGCCACCAUGCCCUGAGAGAUUCAUUCCAGGGGUCAAUGUUUCUGUCACAAGAAAAUCCUAAAAGUUUUGUUAUGAAAAACAAUCUUUACAAGAGGCCACAGGUUCUGGCCCCUCAGAAGGAACCAUUCCAAGAUGGUAGCUGCCAGCACCUCCUCUGAGAUGUCUAGAUGUCUUUCCACAACUGCUGGGAAUAAUAAAUAAUACUUGCCCUGCUAUAGUGCCUUCCAUUCAAAGAUCCCAAAGCACUUUGCAAACGUUAAUGAGCUGAGUCUCACAAUAACCCCUCCUCCCCCCAGUGAAAUACAGCACAGGAAGGCUAAAGGCCAGGAUUUCAAAAAUGGCCUCUGAUUUUGUGUCUCUCGGGUUUGGGUGCCCAACUAGAGAUACUCUGGUCUUGAUGUUCAAGAUUCUGAAUAUUUAUAGUACCCAUUGACUUCAAAUGGCGUUGCAAGGGCUCAGUGCCCCUGACAAGCAGGACCAAGAUGCCUCAAGUUGGGCACCCAAAGUCAGAGACCAUUGGAUAAAGAUCAUUCCAUAGACGACUUGUCAAAGAUUAUGCAGUAAGUCUGUGGCAGAACCUCAGCCUCCUGACUGCCAGUCCUAUUCUAUAGCCAGAAGACAUGCUGCUUCUCAGGAGGCCCAACCCUCAUCCCACAGAAGACAAUGGGAAACAUUUGCUAAAACAGCUUUUCAAUACAUAAUAAUAUGAAGAUCUUAAGGUCUGAUACAUCACAAGCUAACCGGUAUAGAAACUAUUUAUAAUCCUUUUAGGAAUUUAAAUCUGUCAGUGGUCCAGGACUGAAUACUCCCCAUUGUGGGCCUUGUCUGGUGUAAUUUUCGGUAGAAAUUUCUCAUUUGGGAAAGACACAUCAGGCUGAUUUUUAGAAAUAAGUAAAUAAAAUAGUGGCUAUUCAAGAGCUACUCACACUCAGAGAUGGAUCGGGGGUAGAGCGUGAGUGAGAUCAAAGGUGCAUGAUAAAUGCAUGUGUCAUAUAGCACUGCAGUGUAUUUCAUGGCUGUGAGCAACACACAUGUGGUGUGUGUAUACUGAAAGUCAGAUCCCUGGCUGGAGUAGCAGAGCUGAAGAUAUGACCCUGUAUGUAUCAGUUUUGUAAGAAAAAGUUUUCCUUUCAAAAGAGAUUUCCAAAUUACUUGUGUUUUUGUAAAUCAGUAAAAGAAAAGCGUAAUAGCCUGUGGGAAAAUAAUGCACUGUUGUGUUUACUCUUUUAAGGCCAAGCUAGACAACGCAAGUCCGAGAGCGAAAUUCCUUGAAACCAACUUAUAGCAUACUAGAACCAGACUCCCAGUCUUUCUGUUUCUCUUGGAGUUUUAUUUUACCAGCAUCAGCAGGGCUGCAGUUAUUAAGAGUAAAUUGAUUUUCCAUUGUAACCCCCAAUUCCUGUGCUUUAAUAUCUCAGCUGAUUCAAAAUGCAUCCCAUGUAGUGUAAUUUUAUUUUUGUAUUUUUUUUUUAAUAAAAAAAACCACCUAGUU